RNAcentral lists this long non-coding RNA (1355 nucleotides) under Rattus norvegicus (Norway rat). Its description in RNAcentral is "long non-coding RNA NONRATT007185". The record is from RNAcentral. Lineage: Eukaryota; Metazoa; Chordata; Mammalia; Rodentia; Muridae.
AGUAGCGGGAUCGCUAGGCUUCCGCGUUCCGGGCCUGUCGCUGUGGUAGAGGCGGCAGCGGCGGCGGCGGCGGCGGCGGGGUGGCCGAUAGGGACUCGGGCUACAGGAGUAGGGCUCCGGGCAUGGACGUUUCGGGGCAGGAGACCGACUGGCGUAGCGCCGCCUUUCGGCAGAAGCUGGUCAGCCAAAUUGAGGAUGCCAUGAGGAAAGCUGGUGUGGCCCACAGUAAAUCUAGCAAGGAUAUGGAGAGUCAUGUGUUCCUGAAGGCCAAGACCCGGGAUGAAUAUCUUUCCCUUGUGGCCCGACUCAUUAUCCAUUUCCGAGAUAUUCAUAACAAGAAAUCCCAAGCUUCUGUCAGUGGUAAGUCUUCCUUCUGAGACUGUUAUCUCCACCCUCCAGUAUGGUGUGGCAGAAAUGAGAUAGUGUGUGCAUAGGUCGACCACUUGUGGGACAGGAGCAUUCAAAAGAUCUCAGGUGAGGUGGCACUGGUUGGCCGUGCCCCAGCUUCUACUCCACCCUUUGGUUUCUUGCAGACUGAAGACAACCCAGACAACCCAGUGCUUUUCCAUUUUGUUUUAUUUAGAAGGCUUCGACAUAUGACCUAGGAGAACCACUGUAGCACAGUAUAAUAGCCCAUAUAAUAAGUCAUAGAUAGCAGCUGUGGCGACUCGCUUUCUCUCUCUCUCUUUUCGGGGAGGGUGUGUGUGUGCUUCAGACAGGUUCUCUUUAUGUAGCUCUGGCUGCCAUGGAGCUCUACGUUGUCAGGCCGGUCUCAAAUCAGUAGAGAUCUGACUCCUGUGCCUCCCAGGUGCUGGGACAAAAGAUUUGUACCACCAUAGCCAACUGUGUUCACUUUCUUUUUGUUGUUUUGAUUUCUCUGUGUAGUCCUGGAACUCAUCCUGUAGUCCAGGUUAGCCCUGAACUCAAGAUCUACCGGCCUCUGUCUCCUGAGUGCUGGGAUUACCCACCGUUUUCACUUUCUUAAGUUACAAGAAACUUUCUUGAGUUCAGAAAUCUAUUUUAAUUUCAAGGUUUAUUAUAUAAGGGACAUUAUGUCCACUGAAUUGUACCCUGGGCUUUGUCUUCUGAACUGCCAUCAUGUUUGCCGAUCCACUUUGGCCAGCUGAUCUUUAGUCUGUCAGAAAGGAUGUGAGGUUCUUCGAGAGAGUGCUUGCCUAUAUAUCAUGUACAGAGUAAUAUAUAUAUAUAUAUAUAUAUAUAUAUAUAUAUAUAUAUAUAUGUACUUAUAUAUGGUUCUGCGAGAGAGUGCUUGCCUAUAUAUCAUGUACAGGUAUAUAUAUAUAUAUAUCAGGUACAGAGCUCUGUCUGCAGAAUCACCACCACCACUAUCCCCC